CCCUAAAAACCUAAACAACUCCCAACAAACUUCCUUUUGCAUAAGGAGUAACCAAAAAUCUAGAUCCAAA
RNAcentral lists this ribosomal RNA (70 nucleotides) under Trichinella nativa. RNAcentral's name for it is "partial large subunit ribosomal RNA". The record is from RNAcentral. Lineage: Eukaryota; Metazoa; Nematoda; Enoplea; Trichinellida; Trichinellidae.